Myotis daubentonii (Daubenton's bat) is the source of this 957-nucleotide long non-coding RNA. RefSeq lists it as uncharacterized. Lineage: Eukaryota; Metazoa; Chordata; Mammalia; Chiroptera; Vespertilionidae. The record is from RefSeq and is a predicted model, not a curated record.
GCGGCGGGCCCCGCCCACUGCAGACGCAGGCCCCGCCCCCCAUUGCCCCGCCCACCCGCCUCCUGCGGCGCUUCUCCUGUCCGAGGCGGGGCCUCGAGACCCGCAACGCUGGACCACGCCCACCCACUCGGGGCUCCGCCCACUCAGGGCUCCGCCCCUACCCCGGCGCCAAUGACCGGCUGUCUGCAGCUCUGGCUCCGCCCAGGUCCCCUGGACCACGCCUCUCCUGCCGGGUCCUGCUGCCACGCGCGGCUCGGAUUCUUAGCGAGGAGACACGGACCGCUGAGCUGCACCAUCCUUGCGGUUAGCUGGAGCCGCCGCAGAGCUAGCCCGGCCUCUUAAAGGGACAAGCAGCUUCCGCAGCGCUCGUUUCUGGAUUUAGGUCUCAGCAUCAUGCACAAAACCUUCUCUGCCUUCCCAGCACCCACCAGGUCUGGAUUGGGAUGCAUCCCCUGGACUAUGCCAGCACCAUGCCUACACACAGCAUGACAGACCAGGCUGCAGUUUCUAGAACAUUCUCACCAGGUUUCUUCAUGGAGAAAUGAAAGAGAGCAGUAAAACAUGAUGGCACAGAGGAAAGGGAGCGGCUGCAAAUCCCACAUGAUGCUACAGCUCCUUCUCGACAACUCAGAGGGGGACAUUCAGACACAGACCUGAGGAGGGAGCUGUUGGCGUCAUGCCCGCCCACCCGUUCCACAGCAGAAACCCUCAGUGAGCGGAAGGGGGCACAGAGGAGCGAGGGGCAAGAGCAUCGUCAAGAGAGCCUGGCGCCAUGAGAAGCAGCGCCGUGCACUCCUGCCUCUGGGCCUGUGCACGUGCUGGCUUCCCCUCCAGGAACACUGCUCCCCUUCUCGCUGGCCCGUUUGUACUUAUCCUUCAGAUCGGAGCUUUGGUCCACCUCUCCUUUUUCGUUUGUUGUCUCGUUUUGACUUUGUAAUGACUUACGUUCAGUAAAGU